RNAcentral lists this transfer RNA (74 nucleotides) under Cordylochernes scorpioides. Its description in RNAcentral is "tRNA-Asn". Lineage: Eukaryota; Metazoa; Arthropoda; Arachnida; Pseudoscorpiones; Chernetidae. The record is from RNAcentral.
AGUCCCUGGGUAAGCUCGAACCACCAACCUUUCGGUUAACAGCCGAACGCGCUAGCCGAUUGCGCCACGGAGAC